GACAAAUACGUUUACUGGUCAUUUAAGUGGGGCAAAGGAAAUAUCCUUUUAAAACUCAAGCAAACUAGGUGUUUGUCUUGUAAACUGUCGGAGGAAAUAAGC
Molecule: small nucleolar RNA, 102 nt
Filed under: Tursiops truncatus (common bottlenose dolphin)
Lineage: Eukaryota; Metazoa; Chordata; Mammalia; Artiodactyla; Delphinidae
Also listed under: 1 other name
Description: Small nucleolar RNA SNORA27 (ENSTTRG00000022496.1)
Rfam family: Small nucleolar RNA SNORA27
About the family: ACA27 is a member of the H/ACA class of snoRNA that guide the sites of modification of uridines to pseudouridines.
Source: Rfam by way of RNAcentral